This is a non-coding RNA of Meleagris gallopavo (turkey), 550 nucleotides long. Lineage: Eukaryota; Metazoa; Chordata; Aves; Galliformes; Phasianidae. The record is from RefSeq and is a predicted model, not a curated record.
GGGCUAGCCAAGGGAGAAUGUCUUCUGGAUGAAGGCUUCUUCUUGAGAAAGUGUGUUCUGUAGCUGGAGACCCUAUUGCUAGUUGAACUGUGUGCUCUAGAGAGACCGAGGAAAUGGAUCACUGAGUAUCAAGCUUCUCUACAGAUGUGUAUUGAUGUACUACAGGUUCAGAUAAUUCUUCACUUUUGCCCAGGGCAUCUCAUAGGCCGUAUCUGUUGAAUGAUUCCAUGAAUGAACUGGAAGAUGAAAUAUAGUGCCUGUCAAUCAUAUUUUACGUGACACAAUUCAGGGAGGGAUUGUAAAUUCAUGGGAGAAUGAGAAUAAAAUACAGCGUAAUCAUCACGCACUGGAAAAGUGGUCUGAAAUCAAUGAAUGGGAUUCACUAAGGAUACUGGCAAAGUGGCUUAUGUAGGAAAUAACAAUCAGAACAAAAUUGAUGAGCUUAAAUGCAACAUGGAAAACUUAAAGUUUAAAAAUGAGGAGAAGAAAAAUCCUGAAUAAUAAUAUGUGAUGGUUACUUUGGAUUUCAUUCAAUUACUGCAAGAGAAGU